AUACAGAGGGUGCGAGCGUUAAUCGGAAUUACUGGGCGUAAAGCGCGCGUAGCCGGCUUAUUAAGUCAGAUGUGAAAUCCCCGGGCUCAACCUGGGAACUGCAUCUGAUACUGGUAAGCUAGAGUUUUGGAGAGGGAAGUAGAAUUUCAGGUGUAGCGGUGAAAUGCAUAGAGAUCUGAAGGAAUACCAGUGGCGAAGGCGACUUCCUGGCCAAAAACUGACGCUGAGGUGCGAAAGCGUGGGUAGCAAACAGGAUUAGAAACCCUAGUAGUCC
Molecule: ribosomal RNA, 274 nt
Filed under: uncultured bacterium
Lineage: Bacteria
Description: partial 16S ribosomal RNA
Rfam family: Bacterial small subunit ribosomal RNA
Source: RNAcentral